GACGAACGCUGGCGGCGUGCUUAACACAUGCAAGUCGAACGGAGAGGCCCUGCUUGCAGGGUACUCGAGUGGCGAACGGGUGAGUAACACGUGGGUGAUCUGCCCUGCACUUCGGGAUAAGCCUGGGAAACUGGGUCUAAUACCGGAGAGGAGCCAUUUUUAGUGUGAUGGUGGGAAAGUUUUUUCGGUGUAGGAUGAGCUCGCGGCCUGUCAGCUUGUUGGUGGGGUAAUGGCCUACCAAGGCGGCGGCGGGUAGCCGGCCGGAGAGGGUGGACGGCCACAUUGGGACUGAGAUACGGCCCAGACCCCUACGGGGGGCAGCAGUGGGGAAUAUUGCACAAUGGGCGCAAGCCUGAUGCAGCGACGCCGCGGGGGGGAUGACGGCCUUCGGGUUGUAAACUCCUUUCGCUAGGGACGAAGCUUUUUGUGACGGUACCUAGAGAAGAAGCACCGGCUAACUACGUG
RNAcentral lists this ribosomal RNA (465 nucleotides) under uncultured bacterium. RNAcentral's name for it is "partial 16S ribosomal RNA". It matches the Rfam family "Bacterial small subunit ribosomal RNA", at positions 28 to 507 of the family's 1533-position model. The record is from RNAcentral.